UGCAAGUCGAGCGGUAAGGCCCCUUCGGGGGUACACGAGCGGCGAACGGGUGAGUAACACGUGAGCAACCUACCCUCAACUUUGGGAUAAGCCUCGGAAACGGGGUCUAAUACCGGAUAAUACUUCCUGUCUCAUGGGGGGGGGUUGAAAGUUCUGGCGGUUGGGGAUGGGCUCGCGGCCUAUCAGCUUGUUGGUGGGGUAAUGGCCUACCAAGGCGUCGACGGGUAGCCGGCCUGAGAGGGCGACCGGCCACACUGGGACUGAGACACGGCCCAGACUCCUACGGGAGGCAGCAGUGGGGAAUAUUGCGCAAUGGACGAAAGUCUGACGCAGCAACGCCGCGUGAGGGAUGACGGCCUUCGGGUUGUAAACCUCUUUCAGCAGGGACGAAGCGAGAGUGACGGUACCUGCAGAAGAAGGACCGGCCAACUACGUGCCAGCAGCCGCGGUAAUACGUAGGGUCCGAGCGUUGUCCGGAAUUAUUGGGCGUAAAGGGCUCGUAGGCGGUUCGUCACGUCGGGAGUGAAAACUCGGGGCUUAACCCCGAGCCUGCUUCCGAUACGGGCAGACUAGAGGUAGGCAGGGGAGAGCGGAACUCCUGGUGUAGCGGUGGAAUGCGCAGAUAUCAGGAAGAACACCGGUGGCGAAGGCGGCUCUCUGGGCCUUACCUGACGCUGAGGAGCGAAAGCGUGGGUAGCGAACAGGAUUAGAUACCCUGGUAGUCCACGCCGU
Molecule: ribosomal RNA, 732 nt
Filed under: Kribbella sp. YIM 65612
Lineage: Bacteria; Bacillati; Actinomycetota; Actinomycetes; Propionibacteriales; Kribbellaceae
Description: bacterial SSU rRNA
Rfam family: Bacterial small subunit ribosomal RNA
Source: RNAcentral